RNAcentral lists this ribosomal RNA (374 nucleotides) under uncultured bacterium. Its description in RNAcentral is "bacterial SSU rRNA". It matches the Rfam family "Bacterial small subunit ribosomal RNA", at positions 523 to 898 of the family's 1533-position model. The record is from RNAcentral.
AUACGUAGGUGGCAAGCGUUGUCCGGAAUUACUGGGUGUAAAGGGUGUGUAGGCGGGUAGGCAAGUCAGAUGUGAAAUACCGGAGCUCAACUCCGGGGCUGCAUUUGAAACUGUUUAUCUUGAGUGCAGGAGAGGAAAGCGGAAUUCCUAGUGUAGCGGUGAAAUGCGUAGAUAUUAGGAGGAACACCAGUGGCGAAGGCGGCUUUCUGGACUGUAACUGACGCUGAGGCACGAAAGCGUGGGGAGCGAACAGGAUUAGAUACCCUGGUAGUCCACGCUGUAAACGAUGGAUACUAGGUGUAGGGGCUCAAAGCCUCUGUGCCGGAGUUAACACAAUAAGUAUCCCACCUGGGGAGUACGAUCGCAAGGUUGAA